This 450-nucleotide ribosomal RNA is filed under the name uncultured bacterium. Its description in RNAcentral is "bacterial SSU rRNA". It matches the Rfam family "Bacterial small subunit ribosomal RNA", at positions 354 to 796 of the family's 1533-position model. The record is from RNAcentral.
GUGGGGAAUUUUGGACAAUGGGCGCAAGCCUGAUCCAGCAAUGCCGCGUGCAGGAAGAAGGCCUUCGGGUUGUAAACUGCUUUUGUACGGAACGAAACGGUCUUGGUUAAUACCUGAGGCUAAUGACGGUACCGUAAGAAUAAGCACCGGCUAACUACGUGCCAGCAGCCGCGGUAAUACGUAGGGUGCAAGCGUUAAUCGGAAUUACUGGGCGUAAAGCGUGCGCAGGCGGUUGUGCAAGACAGAUGUGAAAUCCCCGGGCUUAACCUGGGAAUGGCAUUUGUGACUGCACGACUAGAGUGUGUCAGAGGGGGGUAGAAUUCCACGUGUAGCAGUGAAAUGCGUAGAUAUGUGGAGGAAUACCGAUGGCGAAGGCAGCCCCCUGGGAUAACACUGACGCUCAUGCACGAAAGCGUGGGGAGCAAACAGGAUUAGAAACCCGGGUAGUCC